CCCAUGCUACAGGGGUUUGAGUGAGAGCCUGAAGCAGGCCAGGGGCAGGCUCUCACACCAUUGUAAACAGUCAGGAGUGAGACUGGAAGGUUUUGUUAUUUGCUUUGUUUGUUUUUCCUGUCUCUAAGAUAUAGAUUUGAGGGACUUCAAAUAACAGUAGUGGGCCAAACCAGAAUCUUAGUGAUAAGCUAAUGGCAUGGGCUGCUUUAGAAGUAAGUAUAAAAGUUUAUAGUACAAAAGAUAUCCUUUAAUUUCCUUCUAAAUGAAGAUAUAAAUCUAACCUAAAAGGAGAGUGGAGGGUGAGAUGUUUUAUUGCUCCGCUCUUGAAUGCCAGAGCAGGAUUGUUGGAAGGGAAGCAGUGGAGUGACAAUUAAUACAACUUGGACCAAGAAAAAGACAAAGAACAAGUUCUACUAGGAAAAUUCUUAAAAACUUCAACCCCAGAAGUAUUAACAUUUAAAUGAAAGUGGGGAACACUAACGUUACCU
Molecule: long non-coding RNA, 488 nt
Filed under: Bos taurus (domestic cattle)
Lineage: Eukaryota; Metazoa; Chordata; Mammalia; Artiodactyla; Bovidae
Description: long non-coding RNA NONBTAT021739
Source: RNAcentral